UUCUCGCUGGUGCACUCCUCCGGGCUCAGGCCAGCAUCGGUUUCGGGUGGUGGACACUGGCUUGGGGAAGGUGGCGGCUCCGGCCGCGUUAUAGCCCCUCGUCGCGAACGCCGCUUGGGACCGAGGAAACCGGCGAGAGCCUGGGAUGCUGGCGUAAUGGCUUUAAACGA
This 170-nucleotide ribosomal RNA is filed under the name Clavariaceae sp. RNAcentral describes it as "partial large subunit ribosomal RNA". Lineage: Eukaryota; Fungi; Basidiomycota; Agaricomycetes; Agaricales; Clavariaceae. The record is from RNAcentral.